RNAcentral lists this ribosomal RNA (445 nucleotides) under uncultured bacterium. Its description in RNAcentral is "partial 16S ribosomal RNA". It matches the Rfam family "Bacterial small subunit ribosomal RNA", at positions 354 to 796 of the family's 1533-position model. The record is from RNAcentral.
GUGAGGAAUAUUGGACAAUGGGCGCAAGUCUGAUCCAGCCAUGCCGCGUGCAGGAAGACGCAUCUAUGGUGUGUAAACUGCUUUUGUACGGGAAGAAACACUCCCUCGUGAGGGAGCUUGACGGUACCGUAAGAAUAAGGAUCGGCUAACUCCGUGCCAGCAGCCGCGGUAAUACGGAGGAUCCAAGCGUUAUCCGGAAUCAUUGGGUUUAAAGGGUCCGUAGGCGGUUUAAUAAGUCAGUGGUGAAAGCCCAUCGCUCAACGAUGGAACGGCCAUUAAUACUGUUAGAAUUGAAUUACAAGGAAGUAACUAGAAUAUGUAGUGUAGCGGUGAAAUGCUUAGAUAUUACAUGGAAUACCAAUUGCGAAGGCAGGUUACUACUUUGGGAUUGACGCUGAUGAACAAAAGCGUGGGGAGCAAACAGGAUUAGAUACCCCAGUAGUCC